This 627-nucleotide ribosomal RNA is filed under the name Triticum aestivum (bread wheat). RNAcentral describes it as "partial small subunit ribosomal RNA". The record is from RNAcentral. Lineage: Eukaryota; Viridiplantae; Streptophyta; Magnoliopsida; Poales; Poaceae.
AUGACCAGGUUACCCUCCAGUUUUGAAUUCUCUCCUCGUCUCCACCCAGGUCGUCUUCCAGAUCCGCCUGCCUCCGUCGCCCCCCACCUCUGGAUCCUCCACCUCCAUCGCCCCCGCCUCUGUCGCCCCCCACCUCCAGAUCCUCCACCUCCACCUCCAUCGCCUCCCAUCUCGCCCCACAGAUCCCCUUCCAUCCUCCCCAUCUUCCUGGGCCAGCAGAUCCCCCUCAUCGUCCUGGGCCAGCAGAUCCCCCACCUCGUCAUCCCAAGGCCAGCGCCCUGCUGCAGAUUGCCGCCACCCUCCCAAGGCCUCGCCAGCUCCACCUCCAGGUACUGCAGAUCGCCGCUGACUUCAGGUCCAGCAGGUGGAGCUCCAAGCUCCAUUGCACCAACUUCAGAACAGGCAGCAACUGAAAAAGGAAAUAGACAUAGUCAAGGCAGAGGCAUGGAUUUUGAUCUCAACUGCACUCCAGCCGAAGAAGAAGACAUACUCCAAGAUGAUAUGAACAUGGAAGAGGAAGAGGGCAUCGAUCCCGGUCAAGAUGCAGUUGGUGAGCUCCAGUACUCCUGCCAUGAACAAUCAAUAGUUCAUUUGUACCCCUAUAAUGGAGUAGCUAGCAAGUGUUGA